CAUAUACUCCCUUCGUCCGGAAAUAUUUGUUAGAGAAAUGCAUAAAAAUGGGUAUAUCUAGAAUUAAAAUACGUCUAGAUACAUCCAUUCCUCCGACAAGUAUUUCCGGACGAAGGGAGUAUAAG
Triticum aestivum (bread wheat) is the source of this 125-nucleotide non-coding RNA. The record is from Rfam. Lineage: Eukaryota; Viridiplantae; Streptophyta; Magnoliopsida; Poales; Poaceae.